Molecule: ribosomal RNA, 406 nt
Filed under: uncultured bacterium
Lineage: Bacteria
Description: partial 16S ribosomal RNA
Rfam family: Bacterial small subunit ribosomal RNA
Source: RNAcentral
AUUGAACGCUGGCGGCAGGCCUAACACAUGCAAGUCGAACGAGCGGCGGACGGGUGAGUAAUGUAUGGGAAACUGCCCGAUAGAGGGGGCUAACUACUGGAAACGGUGGCUAAUACCGCAUACUAUCGGAUGACCCCAUAUGGGAUUAGCUAGUAGGUGGGGUAAAGGCUCACCUAGGCGACGAUCCCUAGAUGGUCUGAGAGGAUGAGCAGUCACACUGGGACGGAGACACGGCCCAGACUCCUACGGGAGGCAGCAGUGGGGAAUAUUGCACAAUGGGCUCAAGCCUGAUGCAGCCAUGCCGCGUGUAUGAAGAAGGCCUUAGGGUUGUAAAGUACUUUCAGCGGGGAGGCGUUACCCGCAGAAGAAGCACCGGCUAACUCCGUGCCAGCAGCCGCGGUAAUUC